RNAcentral lists this transfer RNA (75 nucleotides) under Candidatus Buchananbacteria bacterium RIFCSPHIGHO2_02_FULL_56_16. RNAcentral describes it as "tRNA-Arg". It matches the Rfam family "tRNA". From Rfam's summary of the family: Transfer RNA (tRNA) molecules are approximately 80 nucleotides in length. RNAcentral also lists the same sequence under 1 other name. The record is from RNAcentral. Lineage: Bacteria; Candidatus Buchananiibacteriota.
GCCCUCGUAGUUCAACGGAUAGAACAAGGGACUCCUAAGCCUUAGAUGUAGGUUCAAUUCCUACCGAGGGCACUA